This is a long non-coding RNA of Salvia miltiorrhiza (redroot sage), 545 nucleotides long. RefSeq lists it as uncharacterized. The record is from RefSeq and is a predicted model, not a curated record. The transcript is spliced from 3 exons. Lineage: Eukaryota; Viridiplantae; Streptophyta; Magnoliopsida; Lamiales; Lamiaceae.
AUGAGAUUAAGCUUACAUGGCAAGACAACCCAGUUCUUCUUUAUUUCUACCCCAAAGUACCGUGUCUCUUCCCCCUUAUUUUCGUAACCUCCAUUUUUGCCUCUCAAGCUAAAGAAUCACUUCGAUCACACAAGAAUUUAUUCAAGAACACAUAUUGAGGUUCGAGUGGCAACAUAAAGUGAACAAGCAAGGACUUCUACUUCAUUAAGUAUAUCAGGUUAAGCUGUGAUGUGGUGCAGAUGGAAGCGAGCAGAGCAUAUUCUUUGAUGUAUAUGUAUAAAACAGGCUCAGGAUUCCAUGUCUUCAUACAUGUAAUCCACAUGAGUUAUUAUGCUGCAACACUUAGUAUAUUCUACUUUAUUGAUGUGUUGACAGAUUUUAAAUCAAUAGCUUUGAGAAUUAUGCCACUUGAAAGUUAGACAACUUGUCAUUGUGUAUUGUAAGUUGUCUACUCAUGAGUUUUAAAAGUGAUUGUUUAUGAUUACCAUAUUAUGGUAUUGUUUAAGCAGGAUAAUUAUUUUUAUUGAAACCUCUUUUAUUUUUCA